RNAcentral lists this unclassified non-coding RNA (307 nucleotides) under uncultured fungus. Its description in RNAcentral is "partial contains small subunit ribosomal RNA, internal transcribed spacer 1, and 5.8S ribosomal RNA". The stretch from base 1 to 73 matches the Rfam family "Eukaryotic small subunit ribosomal RNA", at positions 1759 to 1831 of the family's 1831-position model. Lineage: Eukaryota; Fungi. The record is from RNAcentral.
GCAAACUUGGUCAUUUAGAGGAAGUAAAAGUCGUAACAAGGUAACCGUAGGUGAACCUGCGGUUGGAUCAUUACUAAUUACUUUGACCUGAGGUUGAGCUCAUCUUUUUGAGAUCCCUCAGUGUCAUAAACAUUUUGUGCAUUUAUUGUGUAUUUGGGUUAUCUCUAUCUUUUUUAAACAAGAAAGUGAAAAGAUAGCCCAACAAUGAAAACAAACCAUUAUUCUUUUUGACUGAAUUAAAUUGAAAAAUUUACAAACAACUUUUGACAACGGAUCUCUUGGCUCUCGCAUCGAUGAAGAACGCAGC